This 279-nucleotide ribosomal RNA is filed under the name uncultured bacterium. RNAcentral's name for it is "partial 16S ribosomal RNA". It matches the Rfam family "Bacterial small subunit ribosomal RNA", at positions 506 to 784 of the family's 1533-position model. The record is from RNAcentral.
UGCCAGCCGCCGCGGUAAUACGUAAGUCGCAAGCGUUAUCCGGAAUUAUUGGGCGUAAAGCGUCCGUAGGCGGUUUUAUAAGUCUGUAGUUAAAUCCCAGGGCUCAACCCUGGAAUCGUUAUGGAAACUAUAAAACUUGAGGUAUGCAGGGGUAGAUGGAAUUCCAGAAGUAGGGGUAAAAUCCGUAGAUCUCUGGAGGAACACCAAAAGCGAAGGCAUUCUACUGGGCAUUACCUGACGCUAAAGGACGAAAGUCCGUGGAGCAAAAGGUAUUAGAUA